UUUCUUCUGCCCGGCAAACACCUCCUCGGUGGUGGGAAACAAGUGUCCAGCUGGCCAUUACUGCCCUGCUUCCACAUCCUUUGCUUCUCAAUUCCCCUGCCCCAGAGGCACCUACAAGCCACAGAGAGGGGGUGCCCAGCAGUCAGACUGCACACCCUGUGAACCAGGUAAGGGGACAGGUACAUAUCCCCAAUCCUACCAUGUUAGGCCACAUCUUCCCUGACCAGUGAGGGCAGGACUCAGGCCUGUCUCAGAUGGGGAUGCUUUGGCCAUAGCCCAUGGUGCACACUAGGUCAGCCCACAUUCGCUGGCUGGGGUGGAGGUACCCCAAUCCCUCUGCUCCCCAUGCCUGAGCGUCCUGUCUUCCCCUCUCUCCUACAGGUUCCUACUGCCUCCUACCUGGGCUAGUGGCUGUGUCUGGGCCUUGUAGUGCAGGGUUCCACUGUACUCAGGCAGCAGCUGUCCCAAAUCCCACUGAUGGGAUCACAGGAGACCUCUGUCCAUCGGGCCACUUUUGUCCCAAGGGUAGCCCCAAGCCCACUCCAUGCCCCCCAGGUUCUGUUCCUUUGGGAUUCAGAGGCCAGGCGCCAGGCCUAUUUGGCCAAUGGACUGUCCUGCUGGCUACUAUUGCCCUUUGGGUACCUGGACCCCCACCCAGCACCCAUGUCCAAGGGGAACCUUCCGAGAGUGGCCUGGUGCACGCAGUGCUACGGAUUGUAGACCUUGUCCUGCAGGACAAUUCUGUUCAGAUUCAGGAUCCGGGAAACCCUUCCCAGAUGGGCCAUGCUCAGCAGGUUAUUACUGUCCUCCUGGCCAGACCUCAGCCACCCCUACAUCUUUCCGGUGUCCCCGUGGCUUCUACUGUCCAGAGGGAUCUCCCCAGCCAAGGGCCUGUGAGAAUGGAACAUUCCAGCCCCAGGAGGCCAAGGGGUCUUGUGAGCCCUGCCCUGCAGGAUUCUACUGUGAAGCAUCAGGCACAGGGAUGUUCUGCUCAUCAGAAGGGCUGUCCCAGCCAUCAGGGCUCUGCCACUCAGCCCACUACUGCACAGGAGGUGCGGUGUCUCCCACCCCCCUCAAACACAAGGUGGAGGCCCCAGGACUUUCUGGGAAUGAUAUCUGCCCUCCCGGCUUCUUCUGCCCCAGAGGAACAGGCUCCCCAAUGCCAUGCCUGCCUGGGUCUUACUCCUCUGCCCCAGGCCUGGCCAGCGAGGACCAGUGCCAGCCGUGUCCUCCAGGGCACUACUGCAGCAACCCUGGGCUCUCCCAUGUCCCAGAGGCAGAACUCUGCGAUGCAGGGUAUAUCUGCCUGGGAGGCAGUGCUGUGCCCUCACCUUCUGAUGGAACCCACGGAUACAGAUGUCCUCCUGGCUUCCACUGUCCCUCAGGGGCUCACAGCGAGCAGCCCUGUGAACCUGGCACCUUCAGCCCAUUGCCUGGGGCUGACACCUGCCUGCCUUGCCCAGGAGGCACCUACUGCCAAAAUGUUGCUACCGUGGAGCCCACCACCUGCCCCAAAGGUCACUAUUGCCCAGGAGGGACACCCUCUGCUCUUCCCUGCCCGGAGGGAACCCUGAACCUACGGGAAGGUGCUCUCUCCCCCAGGGCCUGUCAGCCCUGUCCUGCAGGAAGAUACUGCCCUGGUGAGGGCAACGGGCAGACUGAGGAUCGCUCAGCCAGUCACUACCCUGUGUACCAGAUGCAGCAUUUGUUCAACAGCAACCCCAACUGGGACUUUGGGGCCUUCAGGAGACUCAGCCACCUCGUGCGAGAGACUCACCUCAACUUUUCAAGGUUUGCCCACCAGUUCCUAGAUCCAGGCACAUAUGUGUUUCGAGACAACAGACUGCCUGAGAGCAUCAUUGUGGUGCUGGUGAAGAAGAAAGGAGUGGCCUGCGAUCCCGGCCUAUCCCCUGUGCAGCCCUCCUCCCCGUAUCAGCUUGUCAGGCAUGGGGUCCUCAGGCACGAGCUGCUAAACCUGGGCCCAGACUGGACAGUGAUCACAGGAGAACCACUCCCCUUGAAGACCCUGGAGGACUUCAGUGUCCGCACUCUCUAUGACAAGCUCGAGGACCAGAGCCUACACGUGGCCGCCCAGCUGAGCAAACACAGGAGCGAGGCACUGGCCUUCUAUAGGGGUGCCAGCCAGCAGCUCCAGGGGCUCAAGGACUUUCUCCAACACCUCAGCACAACUGAGUGGCAAGCUCUGGACAAGGGUGGAGACCCAGAGAUGGAGGCCACAGCUGCCACCAGGACAGACACUGAGCAGAGUGUGGAAUCAUGGGGCCACCACACUGCAAGUCUACCUAGGGAGCCCUGGCAGCAUCCUCUAGCUCUCAGCAGGACCUGGGACCUGGACAGCUUCCCCAGUGUGCUGCCAAAGGAGGAGGCACCGAGAGCCCAGGCUCUAGGUUGUGGAUCAUUGGGGCUGGACACAGGCAUGGAGCCUUUCCUGAGAUGCAGAGGAAGAUAUGGCAGGUGGAAAACACUUUGGAUGAACUGAAUGAGGAGUUCUUCCAGCUCACUGCUCAAGCCCUAGAACUUCAGAAGGAAAAGGACAAACCAGGUCAACUUCCCCCAAGUGAAGGCAAUACAUUUGUGGUAAGCCCAGCAGACUACCACCUCAGCUCCUGAGAUGUCCACAGAUAGCUGGGUCUCACGUGUGGGGCCCACAGAGUCACAGGACCCCAUAGAAAGGGUUGGGACCAGAAAGUCCACCAACCAAAGUUUGGUUUUGCCUGUUUGGUUUAGCACAUACUUCUAGAGACAGGGAGGACCUCUCAAUCAGCUUGGGCUUGCAGGUCUCUAAGUAAAUUGAUGGCUCGGAAAGACUGAGGAAGAGUAUGAAAAGGGAGCAAUAAAAAUAGCUGUUUAGAUGUAGCUAACUAGUAG
Molecule: long non-coding RNA, 2889 nt
Filed under: Felis catus (domestic cat)
Lineage: Eukaryota; Metazoa; Chordata; Mammalia; Carnivora; Felidae
Description: lncRNA (ENSFCAG00000050536.1)
Source: RNAcentral